UACGAAGGGGGCUAGCGUUGCUCGGAAUGACUGGGCGUAAAGGGCGCGUAGGCGGCUCAUACAGUCAGAUGUGAAAUUCCUGGGCUUAACCUGGGGGCUGCAUUUGAUACGUGUGGGCUUGAGUGGGGAAGAGGGUCGUGGAAUUCCCAGUGUAGAGGUGAAAUUCGUAGAUAUUGGGAAGAACACCGGUGGCAAAGGCGGCGACCUGGUCCUUGACUGACGCUGAGGCGCGAAAGCAUGGGGAGCAAACAGG
RNAcentral lists this ribosomal RNA (253 nucleotides) under uncultured bacterium. Its description in RNAcentral is "partial 16S ribosomal RNA". It matches the Rfam family "Bacterial small subunit ribosomal RNA", at positions 524 to 776 of the family's 1533-position model. The record is from RNAcentral.